CGGACAAAUAAGUUUGAUGUCAAAUAUGAUGGCUCAACCAUCAAGAGGCGUUGAAAACUGUUUAUCUAGAAUCUCGGAGAGGUAAGUGGAAUUCCAUGUGUAGCGGUGGAAUGCGUAGAUAUAUGGAGGAACACCAAUGGCGAAGGCAGCUUACUGGACGAAGAUUGACGCUGAGGUGCGAAAGCGUGGGUAGCAAACAGGAUUAGAUACCCUGGUAG
Molecule: ribosomal RNA, 218 nt
Filed under: uncultured bacterium
Lineage: Bacteria
Description: partial 16S ribosomal RNA
Rfam family: Bacterial small subunit ribosomal RNA
Source: RNAcentral